UAGGGAAUAUUAGAAAUGGACGAAAGUCUGAUCUAGCGACACCGCGUGUGCGAAGAAGGCCUUCGGGUUGUAAAGCACUUUUUGGAAGGAAUAGGAAGGAAGGUACUUCCAGAAUAAGUCUCGGCUAACUACGUGCCAGCAGCCGCGGUAACACGUAGGAGGCGAACGUUAUCCGGAUUUACUGGGCGUAAAGCGCGUGUAGGUGGUUCUGUAAGUAGGGCGUGAAAGCUCCUGGCUCAACUGGGAGAGGCCGUUCUAAACUGCAGAGCUAGAGGAUGGUAGAGGGAGGUGGAAUUCCAGGUGUAGCGGUGGAAUACGCAGAUAUCUGGAGGAACACCGGUGGCGAAGGCGGCCUCCUGGACCAUUCAUGACACUCAGACGCGAAAGCUAGGGUAGCAAACGG
This 403-nucleotide ribosomal RNA is filed under the name uncultured bacterium. RNAcentral's name for it is "bacterial SSU rRNA". It matches the Rfam family "Bacterial small subunit ribosomal RNA", at positions 355 to 775 of the family's 1533-position model. The record is from RNAcentral.